ACUCCUACGGGAGGCAGCAGUGGGGAAUCUUCCGCAAUGGACGAAAGUCUGACGGAGCAACGCCGCGUGAACGAUGACGGCCUUCGGGUUGUAAAGUUCUGUUAUACGGGACGAAUGGUACGACGGUUAAUACCCGUCGUAAGUGACGGUACCGUAAGAGAAAGCCACGGCUAACUACGUGCCAGCAGCCGCGGUAAUACGUAGGUGGCAAGCGUUGUCCGGAAUUAUUGGGCGUAAAGGGCGCGCAGGCGGCGUCGUAAGUCGGUCUUAAAAGUGCGGGGCUUAACCCCGUGAGGGGACCGAAACUGCGAUGCUAGAGUAUCGGAGAGGAAAGCGGAAUUCCUAGUGUAGCGGUGAAAUGCGUAGAUAUUAGGAGGAACACCAGUGGCGAAAGCGGCUUUCUGGACGACAACUGACGCUGAGGCGCGAAAGCCAGGGGAGCAAACGGGAUUAGAUACCCCGGUAGUCCUGGCCGUAAACGAUGGAUACUAGGUGUAGGAGGUAUCGACCCCUUCUGUGCCGGAGUUAACGCAAUAAGUAUCCCGCCUGGGGAGUACGGCCGCAAGGCUGAAACUCAAAUGAAUUGACGGAWRUCGA
RNAcentral lists this ribosomal RNA (597 nucleotides) under uncultured Megasphaera sp. RNAcentral's name for it is "bacterial SSU rRNA". It matches the Rfam family "Bacterial small subunit ribosomal RNA", at positions 335 to 923 of the family's 1533-position model. The record is from RNAcentral. Lineage: Bacteria; Bacillati; Bacillota; Negativicutes; Veillonellales; Veillonellaceae.